RNAcentral lists this ribosomal RNA (272 nucleotides) under uncultured Staphylococcus sp. Its description in RNAcentral is "partial 16S ribosomal RNA". It matches the Rfam family "Bacterial small subunit ribosomal RNA", at positions 505 to 775 of the family's 1533-position model. Lineage: Bacteria; Bacillati; Bacillota; Bacilli; Caryophanales; Staphylococcaceae. The record is from RNAcentral.
GUGCCAGCAGCCGCGGUAAUACGUAGGUGGCAAGCGUUAUCCGGAAUUGUUGGGCGUAAAACGCGCGUAGGCGGUUUUUUAAGUCUGAUGUGAAAGCCCACGGCUCAACCGUGGAGGGUCAUUGGAAACUGGAAAACUUGAGUGCAGAAGAGGAAAGUGGAAUUCCAUGUGUAGCGGUGAAAUGCGCAGAGACAUGGAGGAACACCAGUGGCGAAGGCGACUUUCNUGGUCUGUAACUGACGCUGAUGUGCGAAAGCGUGGGGAUCAAACAG